UACAGAGGGGGCAAGCGUUGUUCGGAAUUACUGGGCGUAAAGGGCGCGUAGGCGGCCUUCUAAGUCGAACGUGAAAUCCCCGGGCUCAACCCGGGAACUGCGUCCGAUACUGGAAGGCUUGAAUUCGGGAGAGGGAUGCGGAAUUCCAGGUGUAGCGGUGAAAUGCGCAGAUAUCAGGAGGAACACCGGUGGCGAAGGCGGGUCUCUGGGCUGACACUGACGCUCAUGCACGAAAGCGUGGGGAGCAAACAGG
This 253-nucleotide ribosomal RNA is filed under the name uncultured bacterium. RNAcentral's name for it is "partial 16S ribosomal RNA". It matches the Rfam family "Bacterial small subunit ribosomal RNA", at positions 524 to 776 of the family's 1533-position model. The record is from RNAcentral.